CGGUACCUCAACAACAAUGAGAUGAUCCUCCUAUUAAAAGGUUUCAAGUUUACCCCGACACCUACACCUAAUCUCAUAGAACUGGAAUCUGAUACUGAA
Long non-coding RNA from Octopus sinensis (East Asian common octopus), 99 nucleotides. RefSeq lists it as uncharacterized. The transcript has 3 exons. The record is from RefSeq and is a predicted model, not a curated record. NCBI's taxonomy places the organism in Eukaryota, Metazoa, Mollusca, Cephalopoda, Octopoda, Octopodidae.